RNAcentral lists this ribosomal RNA (497 nucleotides) under uncultured bacterium. Its description in RNAcentral is "partial 16S ribosomal RNA". It matches the Rfam family "Bacterial small subunit ribosomal RNA", at positions 28 to 507 of the family's 1533-position model. The record is from RNAcentral.
GACGAACGCUGGCGGCGUGCCUAAUACAUGCAAGUUGAGCGCUGAAGGUUGGUACUUGUCCCCACUGGAUGAGCAGCGAACGGGUGAGUAACGCGUGGGGAAUCUGCCUUUGAGCGGGGGACAACAUUUGGAAACGAAUGCUAAUACCGCAUAAAAACUUUAAACACAAGUUUUAAGUUUGAAAGAUGCAAUUGCAUCACUCAAAGAUGAUCCCGCGUUGUAUUAGCUAGUUGGUGAGGUAAAGGCUCACCAAGGCGAUGAUACAUAGCCGACCUGAGAGGGUGAUCGGCCACAUUGGGACUGAGACACGGCCCAAACGCCUACGGGAGGCAGCAGUAGGGAAUCGUCGGCAAUGGACGAAAGUCUGACCGAGCAACGCCGCGUGAGUGAAGAAGGUUUUCGGAUCGUAAAACUCUGUUGGUAGAGAAGAACGUUGGUGAGAGUGGAAAGCUCAUCAAGUGACGGUAACUACCCAGAAAGGGACGGCUAACUACGUG